GACAGAGGUGCCGAGCGUUAGGCGGAAUCACUGGGCUUAAAGCGUGUGUAGGCGGCUCGUUAAGUGCCUUGUGAAAUCCCACGGCUCAACCGUGGAACUGCUCGGCAUACUGGCGAUCUUGAGCCGCUUAGGGGCUACCGGAACAAAUGGUGGAGCGGUGAAAUGCGUAGAUAUCAGGAGGAACACCGGUGGCGAAGGCGGAUCUCUGGGCCAUUACUGACGCUGAGGAGCGAAAGCGUGGGGAGCGAACAGG
This 253-nucleotide ribosomal RNA is filed under the name uncultured bacterium. RNAcentral describes it as "partial 16S ribosomal RNA". It matches the Rfam family "Bacterial small subunit ribosomal RNA", at positions 524 to 776 of the family's 1533-position model. The record is from RNAcentral.